This 506-nucleotide ribosomal RNA is filed under the name Sinopodisma houshana. Its description in RNAcentral is "partial 16S ribosomal RNA". It matches the Rfam family "Archaeal large subunit ribosomal RNA", at positions 1921 to 2666 of the family's 2987-position model. The record is from RNAcentral. Lineage: Eukaryota; Metazoa; Arthropoda; Insecta; Orthoptera; Acrididae.
GUCCUUUUGAUUAUAUUUAAGGUCUGGCCUGCUCACUGACUAAGUUUUAAAGAGCCGCGGUAUUUUGACCGUGCAAAGGUAGCAUAAUCAUUAGUCUCUUAAUUAGGGGCUAGAAUGAAUGGCUUGACGAGAAAUCAUCUGUCUCUUUUUAAAUUAUUGAAUUUAACUUUUAAGUUAAAAGGCUUAAAUUUUUCUUUAAGACGAGAAGACCCUAUAGAGCUUAACAUUUUAUUUUUAUAUAAUUUUUAGUUAAUUUUUUUAUAUUUAAAGAUAAUGUUUUGUUGGGGUGACAUGAAGAAUAAAUAAACUCUUCAUUCUAAAAUCAUUAAUUUAUGUUUAAUAUGAUCCAUAAUUUAUGAUCAUAAGAUUUAGUUACCUUAGGGAUAACAGCGUAAUUGUUUUUGAGAGCUCAUAUUGACAAAGCAGAUUGCGACCUCGAUGUUGGAUUAAGAAUAAUUUUGGGUGCAGUAGCCCAAUAAUUAGGUCUGUUCGACCUUUAAAUUCUU